Molecule: small nuclear RNA, 107 nt
Organism: Dipodomys spectabilis (banner-tailed kangaroo rat)
Lineage: Eukaryota; Metazoa; Chordata; Mammalia; Rodentia; Heteromyidae
Source: RefSeq, a predicted model, not a curated record
AUGUUUGCUUUAAAAACACAUGUGCAAAAAUUGGAAUGAUACAGAGAAUGACUAGCAUGACCUCUGCAUAGAGUGGCAUGAAAAUUUAGGAAGCAUCUUAUCAGUGU